RNAcentral lists this ribosomal RNA (403 nucleotides) under uncultured bacterium. RNAcentral's name for it is "bacterial SSU rRNA". It matches the Rfam family "Bacterial small subunit ribosomal RNA", at positions 355 to 775 of the family's 1533-position model. The record is from RNAcentral.
UGGGGAAUAUUGGACAAUGGGCGCAAGCCUGAUCCAGCCAUGCCGCGUGAAUGAUGAAGGCCUUCGGGUUGUAAAGUUCUUUUAGUGGGGAAAAUAAUGAUGGUACCUACAGAAAAAGCCCCGGCUAACUUCGUGCCAGCAGCCGCGGUAAUACGAAGGGGGCUAGCGUUGUUCGGAAUUACUGAGCGUAAAGCGUUUGUAGGCGGUUAUACAAGUCAGUGGUGAAAGCCCAGGGCUCAACCCUGGAAUUGCCAUUGAAACUGUAUAGCUAGAGAGUGUUAGAGGUUAGUGGAAUUCCUAGUGUAGGAGUGAAAUCCGUAGAGAUUAGGAGGAAUAUCGAUGGCGAAGGCAGCUAACUGGAGCAUUUCUGACGCUGAGAAACGAAAGCGUGGGUAGCAAACAG